GACGUAGGGCGCGAGCGUUGUCCGGAUUUAUUGGGCGUAAAGAGCUCGUAGGCGGUGUGUCGCGUCGGCCCGUGAAAACCUGCAGCUUAACUGUGGGCUUGCGGUCGAUACGGGCAUCACUGGAGUUCGGCAGGGGAGACUGGAAUUCCUGGUGUAGCGGUGAAAUGCGCAGAUAUCAGGAGGAACACCGGUGGCGAAGGCGGGUCUCUGGGCCGAUACUGACGCUGAGGAGCGAAAGCGUGGGGAGCGAACAGG
RNAcentral lists this ribosomal RNA (255 nucleotides) under uncultured bacterium. RNAcentral's name for it is "partial 16S ribosomal RNA". It matches the Rfam family "Bacterial small subunit ribosomal RNA", at positions 524 to 776 of the family's 1533-position model. The record is from RNAcentral.